RNAcentral lists this long non-coding RNA (499 nucleotides) under Physcomitrium patens. Its description in RNAcentral is "long non-coding RNA (PPAT_LNC003881)". Lineage: Eukaryota; Viridiplantae; Streptophyta; Bryopsida; Funariales; Funariaceae. The record is from RNAcentral.
AACUUCCGUACUGGAGCUGCUACCACUUGCCAUUAAUAAAGUCAUUUCCUCUUCUCACGCAUUCUGCUAGCACAUUUCUCUCGGCACAAUAAUUAUCUCUAUCAUCGAUUUCCUCCGUCACAGUGAAUUCCACGCUCACUAUUCAAAUAAGAUGUGCACAAGAACUACAUUGGUAUUUCUUGUUUCACCUUUCCCGACAUCGUUAUGAGAUAGAAGAUACUCUGCAGUUUAUAACAUACUCCCUCUAACUAGACGAGAGCUAUUUGUUACGAAGGGGGCUCGAUGUUCCCACGUUAAGGAAAUCAAGCCUUACCAUGGUGAAUUGCGAUGAGAUAGUGCUGGUCAUAAUCAGGUUUAGGCUUGUUCCAUAGCGGUUUGAGACAGCAUUCUUCUGUGACAUUGUCCUGCUCCAUCUGUCAUUAGUGAUCUGGAUUUCUUGAGCUUCCAAUAGGGACAACAGCAUGUCGUGCGUUCUCGGUUCGGCAUGUCGUCUGUCACU